UGUGAAGUCUCCCACUUCAGGGUAGUUGGACGUUUCCUGAGGAAUGUGACGCGGCCUGUCCAGCAGGCACACGGGGCUGCAGGUCACCUGCUUGUUGGAAAAGAAGCACAGCGGGCCCAUUUUGUAGAUUUAUUCUCUUAAGUUCUUGUUCUCACCUGUCUGUUACGUAUCAGAAGGAGAAAGAGAAAGCACAAAAGAGGAUCAUUUGAGGCAGCACAUUGCAGCACUUGCUGGUAGGGAAAAGGGUUCAAUAACUAGGAGAGUGCCCUAGCGAUCUGCAGAAACUUCCAUGCCGUCCCUGCCUUACCAUGUGGGGAAAGAAUUCAGUCAGCAAAAACUGCUUUUAAGUUCAUACCCUAGCCUAAACUGUGAGAAGAAAUCAGGAUUAUUGAUGGACAUUUUAUAAGUUAUCUAAUCAUCAUUCAACACAAAAAAAGACAAGAAAAAUAGGAAGGUGCUGGGCAUGGUGGUGCACACCUGCAAUCCUAGUGGCUCCAGAG
Marmota flaviventris (yellow-bellied marmot) is the source of this 500-nucleotide non-coding RNA. NCBI's taxonomy places the organism in Eukaryota, Metazoa, Chordata, Mammalia, Rodentia, Sciuridae. The record is from RefSeq and is a predicted model, not a curated record.